UACGUAGGGAGCAAGCGUUGUCCGGAAUCAUUGGGCGUAAAGCGCGCGUAGGUGGCUUCGUAAGUCCGUUGUGAAAGUCAAAGGCUCAACCUUUGAAAGCCGAUGGAUACUGCGGAGCUAGAGUACGGAAGAGGCGAGUGGAAUUCCUGGUGUAGCGGUGGAAUGCGCAGAUAUCAGGAGGAACACCGGUGGCGAAGGCGGGUCUCUGGGCCGAUGACUGACGCUGAGGAGCGAAAGCGUGGGGAGCGAACAGGGA
This 256-nucleotide ribosomal RNA is filed under the name uncultured bacterium. RNAcentral describes it as "partial 16S ribosomal RNA". It matches the Rfam family "Bacterial small subunit ribosomal RNA", at positions 524 to 778 of the family's 1533-position model. The record is from RNAcentral.